AUACGUAGGUGGCAAGCGUUGUCCGGAAUUAUUGGGCGUAAAGCGCGCGCAGGUGGUUCCUUAAGUCUGAUGUGAAAGCCCCCGGCUCCACCGGGGAGGGUCAUUGGAAACUGGGGAACUUGAGUGCAGAAGAGGAUAGUGGAAUUCCAAGUGUAGCGGUGAAAUGCGUAGAGAUUUGGAGGAACACCAGUGGCGAAGGCGACUGUCUGGUCUGUAACUGACACUGAGGCGCGAAAGCGUGGGGAGCAAACAGGAUUAGAUACCCUGGUAGUCCACGCCGUAAACGAUGAGUGCUAAGUGUUGGGGGGUUUCCGCCCCUCAGUGCUGCAGCUAACGCAUUAAGCACUCCGCCUGGGGAGUACGGUCGCAAGACUGAAACUCAAAUGAAUUGGCGGGG
Molecule: ribosomal RNA, 397 nt
Filed under: uncultured bacterium
Lineage: Bacteria
Description: partial 16S ribosomal RNA
Rfam family: Bacterial small subunit ribosomal RNA
Source: RNAcentral